Bos indicus x Bos taurus (hybrid cattle) is the source of this 57-nucleotide microRNA precursor. Lineage: Eukaryota; Metazoa; Chordata; Mammalia; Artiodactyla; Bovidae. The record is from Ensembl.
GCUCGCCCCUGCCACGUCAAAAGAGGCAGAAGGGGAGUCGGAGCAGAAAGGGGACCC